Molecule: small nucleolar RNA, 77 nt
Filed under: Mycetomoellerius zeteki
Lineage: Eukaryota; Metazoa; Arthropoda; Insecta; Hymenoptera; Formicidae
Source: RNAcentral
ACUUCAUGAUGAUAAUUUGAUCACCAUCUUUCGACUGAAUGAUUGUGAUGAUACAUUUCCUUUUACUGAGCACGAUU